AGUGAACGCUGGCGGCAGGCCUAACACAUGCAAGUCGAGCGGCAGCGCGGGGCAACCCUGGCGGCGAGCGGCGGACGGGUGAGGAAUUCGUCGGAAUCUGCCUUUUUGUGGGGGAUAACGUAGGGAAACUUACGCUAAUACCGCAUACGUCCUACGGGAGAAAGUGGGGGACCGCAAGGCCUCACGCAGAAAGAUGAGCCGACGACCGAUUAGCUAGUUGGUGGGGUAAAGGCCCACCAAGGCGACGAUCGGUAGCUGGUCUGAGAGGAUGAUCAGCCACACUGGGACUGAGACACGGCCCAGACUCCUACGGGAGGCAGCAGUGGGGAAUAUUGGACAAUGGGCGCAAGCCUGAUCCAGCCAUGCCGCGUGUGUGAAGAAGGCCUUCGGGUUGUAAAGCACUUUUGUCCGGAAAGAAAUCCCUGGAGCUAAUACCUUCGGGGGAUGACGGUACCGGAAGAAUAAGCACCGGCUAACUUCGUG
This 483-nucleotide ribosomal RNA is filed under the name uncultured bacterium. RNAcentral describes it as "partial 16S ribosomal RNA". It matches the Rfam family "Bacterial small subunit ribosomal RNA", at positions 29 to 507 of the family's 1533-position model. The record is from RNAcentral.